AUUGAACGCUGGCGGCAUGCUUUACACAUGCAAGUCGAACGGCAGCGCGGGCUUCGGCCUGGCGGCGAGUGGCGAACGGGUGAGUAAUACAUCGGAACGUGCCCAGUAGUGGGGGAUAGCUCGGCGAAAGCCGGAUUAAUACCGCAUACGACCUGAGGGUGAAAGCGGGGGAUCUUCGGACCUCGCGCUAUUGGAGCGGCCGAUGGCAGAUUAGCUAGUUGGUUGGGUAAAGGCCUACCAAGGCGACGAUCUGUAGCUGGUCUGAGAGGACGACCAGCCACACUGGAACUGAGACACGGCCCAGACUCCUACGGGAGGCAGCAGUGGGGAAUUUUGGACAAUGGGCGAAAGCCUGAUCCAGCAAUGCCGCGUGUGUGAUGAAGGCCUUCGGGUUGUAAAGCACUUUUGGCGGGAACGAAAAGGACUGUGCCAAUACCACGGUUCGAUGACGGUACCCGCAGAAUAAGCACCGGCUAACUACGUG
This 484-nucleotide ribosomal RNA is filed under the name uncultured bacterium. Its description in RNAcentral is "partial 16S ribosomal RNA". It matches the Rfam family "Bacterial small subunit ribosomal RNA", at positions 30 to 507 of the family's 1533-position model. The record is from RNAcentral.